UGAAAAGGGACCGACCCUUCGGGGAGCCUAUACAGGUGUUGCAUGGCUGUCGUCAGCUCGUGUCGUGAGAUGUCGGUUAAGUCCGCUAACGAGCGCAACCCUCGUCGUAUGUUAUAUGUGUCAUACGAGACUGCCGGUAAAAAGCCGGAGGAAGGUGAGGAUGAUGUCAAGUCAGCAUGACCUUUAUAUCCAGGGCUACACACACGCUACAAUGGUCUGUACAAUGGGUAGCCAAGCCGCGAGGCGGAGCCAAUCCUGAAAGCAGGCCUCAGUUCAGAUUGCAGUCUGCAACUCGACUGCAUGAAGCCGGAGUUGCUAGUAACCGCAGGUCAGCAAUACUGCGGUGAAUACGUUCCCGGGUCUU
Molecule: ribosomal RNA, 364 nt
Filed under: uncultured Anaerolineaceae bacterium
Lineage: Bacteria; Bacillati; Chloroflexota; Anaerolineae; Anaerolineales; Anaerolineaceae
Description: bacterial SSU rRNA
Rfam family: Bacterial small subunit ribosomal RNA
Source: RNAcentral